GCAGCUAUGAGAAGGCGUUCUGAAAGUGCAGCGACCGCAUCUUGCUGGCUCAUGAAUUAGGAAAGAAAGGUUUUCAGGGAGGCGAUAGACAAGUUCCUUCAGCUCAACACGAAGUCACUGGCCUGGGCUGGCACCCACGGAUGGCCAAGGCACCCCCAGCAGCCUCCAGAAUGGGUCCCUCACGCAGGAUUUUGGAUACUCCCCCUACCAGAGUCACAUAGAAAACUGCCUGCAAGAUCAAGAACAGAGACCCAGCUUUCCAAUUCCUAGUCUGUUGCCAACACCAUCCCUAUGCCCUUGGACAGCUCAUUUUCAAUUUAAGCCCAGUAAUUGCCUCCUUACUAGGACUGCCAGCCUUCACCUGCAAAAUAUUCUAGAAGAGAUCUGCAAAUAAAAGUCCCAACCUGGCAUUAUGUUCAACCCACCCAGAGAUGGCCCACAGGCAUCCAGGAACCAGUGGUUAUGGAGCGCCAUCAGCUAUAACAACUAGCUUUGUUCUUACUGCUCCAAACCUUUUGUUGAAGAGAUGGUACUCACAUCCG
Molecule: non-coding RNA, 542 nt
Organism: Callithrix jacchus (white-tufted-ear marmoset)
Lineage: Eukaryota; Metazoa; Chordata; Mammalia; Primates; Cebidae
Source: RefSeq, a predicted model, not a curated record